This 774-nucleotide ribosomal RNA is filed under the name uncultured Neocallimastigales. RNAcentral describes it as "partial large subunit ribosomal RNA". It matches the Rfam family "Eukaryotic large subunit ribosomal RNA", at positions 23 to 616 of the family's 3401-position model. Lineage: Eukaryota; Fungi; Neocallimastigomycota; Neocallimastigomycetes; Neocallimastigales. The record is from RNAcentral.
AGAGAGAGACAUGCGCGCAUAUCAAUAAGCGGAGGAAAAGAAACUAACAAGGAUUCCCCUAGUAACGGCGAGUGAAGCGGGAAGAGCUCAAAUUUGAAAUCUUAAAGGGUUUCCCUUUACGAAUUGUAGUUUAAAGGAGUGUUUUCUGUUGAGGUUUUGGUAAAAGUUCUUUGGAAUAGGACAUCAUAGAGGGUGAGAAUCCCGUAUUUGACCUUUACUUUCAACUUUGUGAUACACUUUCAAAGAGUCGGAUUGUUUGGGAAUGCAGUCCAAAAUGGGUGGUAAAUUUCAUCUAAAGCUAAAUAUUGGCGAGAGACCGAUAGCGAACAAGUACCGUGAGGGAAAGAUGAAAAGAACUUUGAAAAGAGAGUUAAACAGUACGUGAAAUUGUCAAAAGGGAAGCGUUUGACACCAGUGUUGUUUUUCUGAAAAUCAAUUAAAGAACUGUUUAUGCUAAGUUGUUUAGACUUUAUCAGCUAACUGUUUAGUUUUGAGCUUUUCUUUAAUGCACUUUUCAGUUAACAAGUCAACAUCAAUUCCUUUUGCUGUAAAAAAGCUUGAGGAAGGUGGCUUGAGAUUCGUCUUAAGUGUUUAUAGCCUCUUGCCUAUGCAGUCGGAGAGAUUGAGGUCUGCAGCGUAGAUCCUUCGGGGCUAAAUGCAUUUGUGCUAAGUUAUAGCAUUUUAUAGACAACUUGUUGACUAUGAUUUGUCUUGUAGCUUACUCGCUUAUGUUAUUUUACCUACGCUUAGGAUGUUGAGCGCAUGUCUCUCUCU